Molecule: ribosomal RNA, 506 nt
Filed under: uncultured Olivibacter sp.
Lineage: Bacteria; Pseudomonadati; Bacteroidota; Sphingobacteriia; Sphingobacteriales; Sphingobacteriaceae
Description: bacterial SSU rRNA
Rfam family: Bacterial small subunit ribosomal RNA
Source: RNAcentral
AAUGGGCGGAAGCCUGAACCAGCCAUGCCGCGUGCAGGAAGGAGGCCCUACGGGUUGUAAACUGCUUUUGUACGGGAAUAAACCUACCUUCGUGAAGGUAGCUGAAUGUACCGUAAGAAUAAGGAUCGGCUAACUCCGUGCCAGCAGCCGCGGUAAUACGGAGGAUCCGAGCGUUAUCCGGAAUUAUUGGGUUUAAAGGGUGCGUAGGCGGCCAGAUAAGUCAGUGGUGAAAGACGGUGGCUCAACCAUCGCAGUGCCGUUGAUACUGUUUGGCUUGAAUGUACUUGAGGGAAGCGGAAUGUGGCAAGUUGCGGUGAAAUGCAUAGAUAUGCCACAGAACACCGAUAGCGUASGCAGCUUUCCAAGGUAUGAUUGACGCUGAGGCACGAAAGCGUGGGGAUCGAACAGGAUUAGAUACCCUGGUAGUCCACGCCCUAAACGAUGAACACUCGAUGUCGGCGAUAUACGGUCGGCGUCCAAGCGAAAGCGUUAAGUGUUCCACCUGG